Molecule: transfer RNA, 70 nt
Filed under: Fasciola gigantica
Lineage: Eukaryota; Metazoa; Platyhelminthes; Trematoda; Plagiorchiida; Fasciolidae
Description: tRNA-Ala
Source: RNAcentral
CGGCGAUAGCUCAACUGGUAGAGCUUCUACCCAGCGAGCGGAAUGUCGCCGGUUCGUUUCCGGCUCACGA